RNAcentral lists this long non-coding RNA (862 nucleotides) under Gossypium raimondii (Peruvian cotton). RNAcentral's name for it is "long non-coding RNA (GRAI_LNC001530)". Lineage: Eukaryota; Viridiplantae; Streptophyta; Magnoliopsida; Malvales; Malvaceae. The record is from RNAcentral.
UCUUAUAUCACUAAUCAACAGCUACAAAUUGGGAAAAUAAAAAUAAGUUGAAAAGACUGUAUCCGCUCAAAGAUCUUCAUGGAUUAGUGGAUUUAGAUCAUUUUUACCAACUCACGGAUCUUCUUACACACACACAUGUUACAAGUCUCUAACUCAUAAAAUUUGGAAUUUCUUUUAACUUUUUGUGAAUUUUGGGUAUAACUAUUGUACAGAAAUAUUAAUCUUUUCACUUGAUCACCGUAGGAUUGAGUAGAAAACAGACCUUAAAUAUUAGUGAGGAACUAUUCAAGUUUCAAGAGCAUUCAUCCCCAUACAUACCCUUAAUGGCCAAAUAACCCUUAUCCCUAAUCAAAACCAAAUAGAGAAAGCAUGCACCGUUAUUUAAUGCUGUGACGUGAAGAAUCAAAUAAAUAAAAAUAAAACUAUUCAGCUGAGGUCGAGACACACGUUCUGGGAUUAAAAAUCCUAGCUAUUAUGGUUUACGCCUAUUAGUUUGAUAAGUUAGGGUUUUGUUUAACUAUAUAUAAAAGUUCAGGUCGAACAGACAAUGAAAAUAUAGGAUAAUCCACAAAAGACUGCUCACUUGACAAGCAUAGCAUGGAAUUCACUCACCCGAUCAUCAUCACCGGUAACUGUUAACGGAUCCGAUCACCGUCUGAUCGUAUAAGUCCUUUUCUCUUCUGGAACUGAAGUAACAAUAUAUCAAAUACAAGAAAACUGGCGAUAGUUGUGAAUAUUACCAAGUAAUAAUAAAGCAUAGGAUAUUCACUGCUAAAUAAUAUAUAGAUAGAUGAGAAAGAAGAAGACGUACCUAUGCUCAGCCCAAGAGAGAAGAAAGGGAGCAAGGUUCUGUGGGAUAAGG